This 253-nucleotide ribosomal RNA is filed under the name uncultured bacterium. Its description in RNAcentral is "partial 16S ribosomal RNA". It matches the Rfam family "Bacterial small subunit ribosomal RNA", at positions 524 to 776 of the family's 1533-position model. The record is from RNAcentral.
UACAGAGGGGGCAAGCGUUGUUCGGAAUUACUGGGCGUAAAGGGCGCGUAGGCGGCCUGCUAAGUCGAACGUGAAAUCCCUGGGCUCAACCCAGGAACUGCGUCCGAUACUAGUUGGCUUGAAUCCGGGAGAGGGAUGUGGAAUUCCAGGUGUAGCGGUGAAAUGCGUAGAUAUCUGGAGGAACACCGGUGGCGAAGGCGACAUCCUGGACCGGCAUUGACGCUGAGGCGCGAAAGCCAGGGGAGCGAACGGG